GUUCAAUCAGAUGGUAAUUA
Molecule: non-coding RNA, 20 nt
Filed under: Arabidopsis thaliana (thale cress)
Lineage: Eukaryota; Viridiplantae; Streptophyta; Magnoliopsida; Brassicales; Brassicaceae
Source: RNAcentral